GACGAACGCUGGCGGCGUGCCUAAUACAUGCAAGUCGAGCGCAGGAAACUGACGGAACUCUUCGGAGGGAAGGCAGUGGAAUGAGCGGCGGACGGGUGAGUAACACGUAAGGAACCUGCCUCAAGGAUUGGGAUAACUCCGAGAAAUCGGAGCUAAUACCGGAUAGUUCAUCGGACCGCAUGGUCCGUUGAUGAAAGGCGCUUCGGCGUCACCUUGAGAUGGCCUUGCGGUGCAUUAGCUAGUUGGUGGGGUAACGGCCCACCAAGGCGACGAUGCAUAGACCAGCUGAGAGGGUGAUCGGCCACACUGGGACUGAGACACGGCCCAGACUCCUACGGGAGGCAGCAGUAGGGAAUCUUCGACAAUGGACGAAAGUCUGAUGGAGCAACGCCGCGUGAGUGAUGAAGGUUUUCGGAUCGUAAAACUCUGUUGUAAGGGAAGAACACGUACGAGAGGGAAUGCUCGUACCUUGACGGUACCUUACGAGAAAGCCACGGCUAACUACGUGCCAGCAGCCGCAGUAA
This 524-nucleotide ribosomal RNA is filed under the name uncultured bacterium. RNAcentral's name for it is "partial 16S ribosomal RNA". It matches the Rfam family "Bacterial small subunit ribosomal RNA", at positions 28 to 523 of the family's 1533-position model. The record is from RNAcentral.